UGGUGAACACCAACGUGCCAUUUUUUUAUAUUGAUUGAAGUAUAAUUUUCUAUCUCUUUGCAUGCUUAAAUUUACUUUGAUCAUGAUCAGCAAAGUAAUUUUAGGAUUUUGAGUUCGGCUUGAUAGUUUUAUUUAAUAAGGCUAUUGAUUUGCUUGUUUUAAAAUUUUUAAAAAUUACUUUCGGCUGCAUGGUCGAAACCCAACUGUGUCUUACUAACUGAC
This 222-nucleotide long non-coding RNA is filed under the name Elaeis guineensis (African oil palm). RNAcentral describes it as "long non-coding RNA (EGUI_LNC053397)". Lineage: Eukaryota; Viridiplantae; Streptophyta; Magnoliopsida; Arecales; Arecaceae. The record is from RNAcentral.